CUUUCUUUGCUGGCGACCGGCGCACGGGUGAGUAACACGUAUCCAACCUGCCGAUAACUCCGGAAUAGCCUUUCGAAAGAAAGAUUAAUACCGGAUAGUAUACGAAUAUCGCAUGAUAUUUUUAUUAAAGAAUUUCGGUUAUCGAUGAGGAUGCGUUCCAUUAGUUUGUUGGCGGGGUAACGGCCCACCAAGACUACGAUGGAUAGGGGUUCUGAGAGGAAGGUCCCCCACAUUGGAACUGAGACACGGUCCAA
RNAcentral lists this ribosomal RNA (254 nucleotides) under uncultured bacterium. Its description in RNAcentral is "partial 16S ribosomal RNA". It matches the Rfam family "Bacterial small subunit ribosomal RNA", at positions 79 to 334 of the family's 1533-position model. The record is from RNAcentral.